RNAcentral lists this long non-coding RNA (3635 nucleotides) under Venturia canescens. RNAcentral describes it as "uncharacterized LOC122413273". Lineage: Eukaryota; Metazoa; Arthropoda; Insecta; Hymenoptera; Ichneumonidae. The record is from RNAcentral.
CGCCAUCGACGAUUCGCUCGCUUUGCUCAUGCAGUUGGACGGCAACUCCGAAACGAAAUUACUCACUGGAAUCAUACGGGAGAAAACGGACGAUUACGAAUUUCUCAAUGGGACCAGCGAGCUUCCCGCACGUACUUUCCCUGGGAGGCGACGAUCGGAGAAAAAAUCGAUUGGAACGAAUUUCUCGCAAUGUUCGUUCGAAGAAACGGAGACAAUGGAGCGGCCACGGGAACGAGCUCGUCGAGAGGGUUCAGUAAAUAAAUCCUGAGAAGGUAAUCUACUCGCGCGGCUUCCAUACGAUCCCCAUUUAUGGGUGAGAAGUACAAUCGAUGGCUCUGGUGACCCGAGUCGAGAAAUCAUCAUUUCGGAGAGAGAGAAAUAAAAGCUGGAGCCGCACACGACGAAGUAUCGAAGAGCAGAAGAAAUAAUAAGACGGAGAGAGAGAGAAAGAGCCGUUCCAGGAAGUGAACGAAGGCGCAAAUAAUUAGGAGCGUUAAGCGCAACGUCGCGUCGGAGCUUCGACUCGGGCGAGUCUCUCUCUCUCAUGUAAAUGAGCGAUCUCGUCUUCGAACCCGAGGAGACGUCCCCUGAAAAUCGUUCGCUCUUUCUCCCUUUAAUUCAACGUGCGAUACGCAGCGACAAAAAGAUGUUUAGGUCCUCGAGCAACCCGUUACCUCGUGCGAUAACGCAUCGUAUACUUAAUACCCUAACGAACGACGAGUGACGGCGAACGACACGCUCGUUGCUCCAGUUACAAACUCGAGGAGAUUAGAAUGAAGCUUUGUGAGAAACCGUUCGCGAGAGAAGUGCGAUGUAAUUUUCGACUGUACGUUUCUCUAAAUAUUUGUCCCAAGAUUUUCGUCACGAUUCCGACGAAACUCUUCGCUCUUCUCCACUUUCGAGCUAUCCAAUCCGAAUUAAAAGCGUUGUCACUGAAUCUCUGAUCGAUCCGCAAGUAGCUCCAUGUGGGUUCCAAAAUUUCCGUACCAAAACCAUCGAAACGGACAUUUUAUUAAUUACGAAAAUUCCUAAGGAUUUAUCAUUUUGGAGAUUUUUCGAUGCUUCGGACUGACGAGAAGUUUGUUUCAGGUAACAAACUUUUAAAUUAUUUAUAAAAACGUGAAAUAAUCGACGAGAUUUUCUAUUUUAAGGGCUUCUAAUGUUACCUCAAAUGAAGCAUUCGAAAUUUAAUUUCAGGCUGCCAAAUAUCUGUGAGAAAAUCGUUGUUCCGAGCUUCCAUUUAAUCAAGCCUUUUUUCUAGUUCUGCAGGCGUCGAUAGCAACGAUUUUUUGGUUUUCCUGAUAUCUUGAUGGGGUUGAUUGAACAUUGGGAAGCUGAACACUUCUAAAUUGGAAUGUGCGUCGACAGUGAAAAAAAUGGAUUAUUUUCGUUGAAGAAAUCGAAGCAGGCGUGAAUGAUCAUUGAAGAAACCGAACUCUUUCCCGUAAACGAGAAGUUAAACAAGAAUGUAUUUUCGUAGCGUUUCUUACUGCGGAGAGUAUAUUGAGCUCGCCGGUCUGAAUGCUCACAUGCAUUGGAACUCACGGAGUCACGUUCCAUCGUACGAAAAUCGAGACUUGUUUGAGACUCUUGCGAGCCAUAUAGCCCAAUAAGCGAGGAGAGAACGAUGGUGAAAAUUGUCCUGAACGUGCUCGGAGCUCGAAAUUCAUUGACGAGUGGGUUGGGAGCGUAUAAUGUAUGAGGAAAAGCAUGGGCUUUGAGAAUCCGAGAAAAAGGGUGAUACCAAAAUUAACGUGGACUCGGUCUCGAGCUUUUAUUUCCGGACUAUAUUACUCUGAAGAAUAUAAAAUGUGUGGCCACAAAUUUGGUUUUCGAUCGAUGGAGCAAACGAGAAAAUGAUUUAUUCGCUGACAUCGUGAAAAAAUUGGGCUCAGAAAAACGUUUGGAUCUCAAGAAAAGAUUUCUCGUCGUUUACCCACCAUUCAAGGAGCCUCCAAACUCGUUGAGCUUGCAAAUCGAACACGAAACAUUGAUCUCUGUGCUUGAAAAACUCGACGAGCUCUGCUUCAUUCAUUAGUCAUGUUUCGAUAAUCAGUAGUCAGGGUAUCGAGUGAACGAAUCGUUAGGCACGUGAUUCAUAAACAAGAGGAACCUCGUACAUGAUUGGGACAAGUCACGGAGGAGAACAAAAUGCAACAAGUUUUGAGAAAAAGCGUAAUAAUUAUUUCGUCUCAAUAUUCGAGUCAGUCGACGAUCUGGCUAUCGAGAAAUUGUGAUCGCUAAUUGGAAAAACGGAUUUUCGAAAAGGCUUCCCGACGUACUUCGUCAAUUCGGUUUUCAUCAAAGUAUUUGUGAUUCUCGAGAAAAUUCAGAAACUUCACGUCGACAACAGCAUUCUGAACAACGAAGCAGCCUCAAUGUGUACAAAAUCUUUGAGAUCCUUCCGGUAGCGUCAACAAACGAAUUUCAUUGCGAUGCGCCCACGGCGACCGACGCUUGCGACUGGAGAUACGGAGGCGACGGAGGCUCUAGUAUGCGAAUAAAAAAGCGUUCGCCACGCAUUCCUGAAAGGCCGGAGCUCUUUCCGCCUCGGAAUCGCAUUUGAAGUGUCAAUAUGCGAAAUACAAUACACGCUGUGACAUCAUUCGCGUGGUUGAAUACGAACUUAAUGCUUUCUCACAAUGAUCAGUGGGAGGCGAGCGUCGUAAUCGCAAGCGAGAAUCACUCGGGUGAUUUUUCAUUUCCACGUUUCGUUUUCGGAUCUUCCGCGUUCCAGGCUCCGGUGCUCUUGGUUUUCGGACGGAAUAAAAUGUGCAGCGAAAACGAAAACAAAACGGUUUUGACAGUCGACGAUUCGUUGAAUGUUGUCAAAAUACCAGCGGAGCUGAACGAAGCGAUUCCCCCGCGGUGGAGACAGGCAGGAAAAAUCAUCGAGGGGAGUAUCGCAGCGAAGAUCGGAUGGCAUUUAUAGGGAGAUUGAAAAAACGAGAGAUGGAUACGUAAAACGUACAAAACGAUCCCUUCCCACUGGCCCCAGGGCACGUGCGCCCUGAGGAAGAUACAAUUAGCAGUUGAUUUAGCAGCUCUCGUUCGUUCACGACUCUGUAACGCGAUACGCGAUUUUUUUUAGUCCUCCGCGUAUGUAAUCGCACCCCCAUAACUCUUCGCAUGAUAUCAAUAUCUGCGAUAUUAUUUACAUUAGCUGCCCUUUAUCUUUCGCUCGAUAUAAUUUCUCCGUGCUGGCAAAUUUGUAUCAGCCUCUGAUAUAUCGACGGAAUGCUCAAUUAAGCAUUAUUCCUUCAUCUACGUGGGGGCUUGAUAAAACGAUGUUAAAGAGAAACCGAAACAGAGCUAAAUAAGAACGAAAAUGGCGAUCGGUUUUCAGAAUUCUCCACGGAGAAAACGAGACCGAAAAUUCUAGAGGAAAGUACUAGGAAUAUAGUAAAAAGACCAAUACCUUUUAUUCAGAAGUCUCAAGAGUCUUUUUCUCUACAAGCAUAGUAAAAAAUGUUUUCACACGAAGAGAAAAAAAUAGUAAUAAUUACUAUGCUGCCAUGGUAUUGGGGUUCUACAUCGCCCAUUUCGAAGGUUUUUACCAAAAAUAUUGUAAUUUCCAAGUCAAUUCUGAAUGAAAAUUUUUAAAUUGCGUAUUUUGCUGUGACGAAGGUUUAAAC